RNAcentral lists this long non-coding RNA (1239 nucleotides) under Homo sapiens (human). Its description in RNAcentral is "non-protein coding lnc-TUBGCP6-1:2". Lineage: Eukaryota; Metazoa; Chordata; Mammalia; Primates; Hominidae. The record is from RNAcentral.
GUCACUGGCGGAGUCAGUGUGCAUGACAGUACAGACGCUGCUGGGUGACCCGGCCCCACCCCUGUCAGGGCCAAUGGCGCCAUGUCAGAGGUGCGAGGGGAGGUAGGGCGGGCAGGGCCGGGGUGUGAGACCAGGUGUCACGACUGUUGUGUCUCCCUCACAGUGCCCUAGAGUCCAUCCAGAGUGCCCGUGCUGCCCAGGCCCCGCACUGGAAGAGCCUCCAGCAGCAAGAUGUGACCGCUGUGCCGAUGAGCCCCAGCAGCCACUCCCCAGAGGGGAGGCCUCCACCUCUGCUGCCUGGGGGUCCAGUGUGUAAGGCAGCUGCAUCUGCACCGAGCUCCCUCCUGGACCAGCCGUGCCUCUGCCCCGCACCCUCUGUCCGCACCGCUGUUGCCCUGACAACGCCGGAUAUCACAUUGGUUCUGCCCCCUGACGUCAUCCAACAGGAAGCGUCAGCCCUGAGGGAGGAGACAGAAGCCUGGGCCAGGUGGGCAGGGCUGGCCUGGGGAGAAGGAUGGGGCCGCAUCUACACCUGUGCCUGUGUGUGCCUGACCUGCGGUCACUCCGUGUCUGUGUGUCCCUCUGGUCUGUCCACCACAGGCCACACGAGUCCCUGGCCCGGGAGGAGGCCCUCACUGCACUUGGGAAGCUCCUGUACCUCUUAGAUGGGAUGCUGGAUGGGCAGGUGGGAGCACCUGGGAGGGGUUGGGGAUGCUGUGGACCUAGGGGCAGGGACCAGGACCUGCCAACGAGAUGUGGCCUGUCCAGAGGAGGGCUGGGUGGUGCAGAACCACAUGGAUGUGAACAUUGCCUUGUGCCAGGAACUGUUCCCAGAACAGCCCCAGGGGUGGGGAUCACUAGUGUGUCUGACCUCUGACCUCAGCUUCUUCAGUUAAAUGCUCUUUGGCAGAGAGGUGAAGGGGGUGAUUUAAAGUAUACAUUUAGGCAGGGUGCAGUGGCUCAUGCCUGUAAUAACGGCAGUUUGGGGGGCCAAGGUGGGAGAAACGCUUGAGCCCAGGAGUUCAAGACCAGCCUAGAGAACAUAUGGAGACCCUGUCUUCACAAAAAAUAAAAAAGUCAGCCAAGCGUGGUGGUGUGUGCCUGUAGUUACUUAGGAGGCUGAGGCAGGACGAUCGCUUAAGCCCAGGAGUUUGAGGCUGUGGUGAGCUACAAUUGCGCCACUGCACGCCAGCCUGGCUACAGAACGAGACCCUGCCUCUCUAAAAAAAAAAAAAAAAA